UUACGGUCAAAUCACGCUGAAACACCGGUUCUCGUACGAUCACCGAAGUUAAGCAGCGUAGAGCCAGGUCAGUACUUAGAUGGGGGACCGCUUGGGAACACCUGGUACUGUAAG
This 114-nucleotide ribosomal RNA is filed under the name Acanthosepion pharaonis. Lineage: Eukaryota; Metazoa; Mollusca; Cephalopoda; Sepiida; Sepiidae. The record is from RNAcentral.